CGCGUAGGCGGCUAUGUAAGUCGGAUGUGAAAGCCCCGGGCUCAACCUGGGAACUGCAUUCGAUACUGUAUAGCUAGAGUUUGGUAGAGGGAAGUGGAAUUCCACAUGUAGCGGUGAAAUGCGUAGAUAUGUGGAGGAACACCAGUGGCGAAGGCGACUUCCUGGACCAAAACUGACGCUGAGGUGCGAAAGCGUGGGUAGCAAACAGGAUUAGAUACCCUGGUAGUCC
Molecule: ribosomal RNA, 229 nt
Filed under: uncultured bacterium
Lineage: Bacteria
Description: partial 16S ribosomal RNA
Rfam family: Bacterial small subunit ribosomal RNA
Source: RNAcentral